UACGGAGGGUGCGAGCGUUGUCCGGAAUCAUUGGGCGUAAAGGGUGCGUAGGCGGCGGGGCAAGUCUGAUGUGAAAUCCCGGGGCUCAACCCCGGAACUGCAUUGGAUACUGCCUUGCUUGAGUACUGGAGAGGGAACUGGAAUUUACGGUGUAGCAGUGAAAUGCGUAGAGAUCGUAAGGAAGGCCAGUGGCGAAGGCGAGUUCCUGGACAGUUACUGACGCUGAGGCACGAAGGCCAGGGGAGCAAACGGG
This 253-nucleotide ribosomal RNA is filed under the name uncultured bacterium. RNAcentral describes it as "partial 16S ribosomal RNA". It matches the Rfam family "Bacterial small subunit ribosomal RNA", at positions 524 to 776 of the family's 1533-position model. The record is from RNAcentral.